CGCCCCCACAGGAACUAGUCUAACACAAGACCUCUA
This 36-nucleotide transfer RNA is filed under the name Paleosuchus trigonatus (Schneider's dwarf caiman). RNAcentral describes it as "partial tRNA-Arg". The record is from RNAcentral. Lineage: Eukaryota; Metazoa; Chordata; Crocodylia; Alligatoridae.